GGUUGCGCACGCCUAGCAACAGCAUACCAAGCGGCGCACCAUCCUGAGCGAAGCUGGAAUAGUCACAGUGUGCAUCGACAGAGAAAUUAAACGACUAUUUCGCUCAGAGAAUCUGGAGACCUCUGAAGUUUUCAUUUUAUCUGCACUACAGGUUUCAGAAAUUGAUCCAGCCAUGUCAAAGCGAGAACGUCACACUGUAGAGCAAGAACUUUUGAGGGCAAGACAAGAACUUUUAAGGACAGAGCAAGAACUAAGAAGACAAAGGCAAGACAUACAGACUCAAAGGGAAAGACUAAGGACUAUUUUGAGAAGAAUAAGAAAUGCAUACCUAUCACUUAAGUGCCCAGGAUGUAAAAACACUUUCACCUCAAAGGGGAAUCAUUGUCCUAAAGUAUUAAGAUGUGGACACAGCCUUUGUAAGGUAUGUGUCCCAGUGUAUACAGUGAAAUGUACCUGCUUCUGUCCUGUAGACAAUGUGGAGACUAUUGUAGAGAGAAAACUAGCCACUAACAAACAAGUGGCAGCUGUUUUGGAGAGACUGGAACUUCUGUUUUCAAAUACCAAUAGUCUGGAACUCUAAACCAGUACUGAUAUGUCAGCUCAGCUGAUCACACAAGACAUCUCGUACUGAAUGUAAGCUUUGACUACUUGUUUUUCUUUUAGUUACUGUUCACAAUUUUAUUGAAAGUAAUUUCCAUUCUAAAGAUGAUUCUAUACUGGUACUUUAGCUUCUCUGCUGAACUAUUGAGUCAACAUUUUUGUUCUCUAGACAUUUUAAUGAAUCACUUUCUUCCUUUUUUUCAAGGAUGAAUAACUUAAAAUAAAGAAACAUUUAUUAAACUCAAAGUGAUUUUAUGUUAUUAUAUCUUUGUUUAUUUCUGCACUGUUGAAGUAGGCUAUUUAUAAAUAUUCACAUACUUCAGCUACUACAAAUUUGCAUUUUGAUUCAUUUGACAUUUGAAUUGUGUUUGUGAUACCAAAAAGGAUACAUUUAAAGUUUUUAAUUUUUUAAAAAUAGUAUUUAGAGAUUUUUAAACAAAACUUGUCAUUCUCUGAUUAUAGCAAACCUCAAAUCUAUUUCUAUGACAUUUUUCAACUCCAUUGUUUGCCUGAACAUGGUUGAAAGUUUGAAUGCUACAAUGGUCAGUGUAAGAUUAAUAUUACAUCUGAAUAAGUAAGAAAGGUGGAGACAAUUAAGCUUUCAUUUUUAGACCUUUACAUUUAGAGGACAUGAAAACAAAAUGAAAUGUUCAUUUGUCAACUUGUCCUCCAAGUAACAUGUACAAACUACUUUUAACAAUUUUGAUAAAAGUAAUUCAACUUAUUUCAUUAAAUGUAUGCCUUUUAAUACUAUAUACUUUUAUUUCUUUGCUUAACUAAUUAGUCCACAUUUUAUUCCCUUGUUAUCCUUUUUUUUCAAUUCUAAUGAAAAACUAUCACUCAAGUGUUGAACUUAAUAAAAACAAAAAAACAAAGUGUUUUGCUGUCAUUUGAUUUGGUGUGACUUCUGUGUUUGAUUUUGUGUUACUAAAUGUUUUGAAUUUAAUGUGACUUCGGUGUUUAAUUUUGUGUUACUAAAUGUUUUGAAUUUGGUGUGACUUCGGUGUUUAAUUUUGUGUUAUUAAAUGUUUUGAAUUUGGUGUGACUUCUGUGUUUAAUUUUGUGUUACUAAAUGUUUUGAAUUUGGUGUGACUUCAGUGUUUAAUUUUGUGUUAUUAAAUGUUUUGAAUUUGGUGUGACUUCAGUGUUUAAUUUUGUGUUAUUAAAUGUUUUGAAUUUGGUGUGACUUCGGUGUUUAAUUUUGUGUUAUUAAAUGUUUUGAAUUUGGUGUGACUUCAGUGUUUAAUUUUGUGUUAUUAAAUGUUUGGUUAUAUGCUA
Long non-coding RNA from Biomphalaria glabrata, 1878 nucleotides. RefSeq lists it as uncharacterized. The record is from RefSeq and is a predicted model, not a curated record. NCBI's taxonomy places the organism in Eukaryota, Metazoa, Mollusca, Gastropoda, Planorbidae. The transcript is spliced from 4 exons.